RNAcentral lists this ribosomal RNA (494 nucleotides) under uncultured bacterium. Its description in RNAcentral is "partial 16S ribosomal RNA". It matches the Rfam family "Bacterial small subunit ribosomal RNA", at positions 28 to 507 of the family's 1533-position model. The record is from RNAcentral.
GACGAACGCUGGCGGCGUGCUUAACACAUGCAAGUCGAACGGAAAGGCCUGCUUUCCCUUGUGGAUUGCGGGUACUCGAGUGGCGAACGGGUGAGUAACACGUGAGUGAUCUGCCCCCAACUUGGGUAUAAGCCUGGGAAACUGGUUCUAAUUCCCGAUAGGACUGCAGGGUGGUGCCUGUGGUGGAAAACGAUUUUCUAGUGGUUGGGGAUGAGCUCGCGGCCUAUCAGCUUGUUGGUGGGGUAAUGGCCUACCAAGGCGGCGACGGGUAGCCGGCCUGGGAGGGUGGACGGCCACAUUGGGACGGAGAUACGGCCCAGACUCCUACGGGAGGCAGCAGUGGGGAAUAUUGCACAAUGGGCGGAAGCCUGAUGCAGCGACGCCGCGUGGGGGAUGACGGCCUUCGGGUUGUAAACUCCUUGCGACCGCGAGGAAGCCACCUGGUUGGAAGGGUGGUGACGGUAGUGGUAGAAGAAGCACCGGCUAACUACGUG